This 260-nucleotide ribosomal RNA is filed under the name uncultured bacterium. Its description in RNAcentral is "partial 16S ribosomal RNA". It matches the Rfam family "Bacterial small subunit ribosomal RNA", at positions 1243 to 1500 of the family's 1533-position model. The record is from RNAcentral.
AGGGAAGGCAACACAGUGAUGUGAAGCAAAACCCAAAAAAGACAGUCACAGUUCGGAUUGAAGGCUGAAAUUCGCCUUCAUGAAGCCGGAAUUGCUAGUAAUGGCAGGUCAGCAUACUGCCGUGAAUACGUUCCCGGGCCUUGUACACACCGCCCGUCACACCAUGGGAGUUGGGAAUGCCCGAAGCCGGUGACCUAACCGAAAGGGAGGAGCCGUCGAAGGCAGGCUUGAUAACUGGGGUGAAGUCGUAACAAGGUAUC